UGUCAGGGGACUGUUAAAGUGCCUGUUUUUGAGGUAAUUCUGUGGCUUAUCUCAGGCUAAAGUCUGGCCUGUACAAGGUUCUGAAGUUUCCUGAAGCCUGGAAAAAGCUAAAUGGUGUCUCCUUGGACAGCACCAUCAAAUGGAUCACUAUUCCAAAAUGAACUCAAAGGCAUCAUUAACAGUUCCUACAUAGCUUUGGUUUCACUACCUGGUUAUAUGUAACACCAGCAGAACAGACAGACUGCACUACAUGGUUAUAUAUAACCUCAGCAAAACAGACAGACUGCAUUACAGUACCUGGUUAUAUGUGAACAGAUCACUUUUUUGCAUUCUUGUUUCUAAAGUGAAUCUGGCUUUUGCUGUGUGUUGGCUUGCAAUGCUGUGGGACGUUUCUCACAGUUACCAGCAAAAGUAAAGAAGCAGAGCCUAACUCACUAUCCACUCUGAGAGAUUUUAUUUCUGAGUUAUUUCUUGCAUCUUUACUUUUGGUUGUAUCUGUGCCAAAUGUCAGAAGAAAGGGGGCCAUUUGGGUAAAAAUUUCAUUUGAGUUCUGUCCAACAGGAUGUCUAAUUCUCAAAGUCAUUUUCCUCAGAGCAUCACUAACUUUAAAUCCUCAAUAUCACUCUUCAUCACUCAAUGCGAUUACUGUUACAUUGCACAUAUCAGAUUUUACAGGAUAUUGCGAUAUUUAAUCAUACAAUAAUAUAUAAACUCUCCUUACAGACUGAACAGCUGUGACCUCACAGAGAAGUCCUGUGAAAUUGUGGCCUCUGCUCUUCAGUCAUCAAACUCACCCCUGAGAGAUCUGGACCUCAGCUACAAUAACCUGGGUGAUUCAGGAGUGAAGCUGCUCUGUGCUGGACUGAUGAGCCCAAACUGUAAACUACAGAGACUAAGGCUGGGUUGGUGUAAUCUCACAGAUGGCUGCUGUGAUGUUCUGGCCUCAGUCCUGCGCUCUCCUCACUCAGAGCUGAGAGAUCUGGAGCUCAGAGACAAUGAGCUGCAGGAUUCAGGAGUGAGAGCGCUCUCUGCUGGACUCGAGGACCCACACUGUAAACUGCAGAGACUGGGACUGAACAGCUGUGACCUCACAGAGAAGUCCUGUGAAAUUGUGGCCUCUGCUCUCCAGUCAUCAAACUCACCCCUGAGAGAUCUGGACCUCAGCAACAAUAACCUGGGAGAUUCAGGAGUGAAGCUGCUCUGUGCUGGACUGAUGAGUCCAAACUGUAAACUACAGAGACUGGACCUCAGCUACAAUAACCUGGGAGAUUCAGGAGUGAAGCUGCUCUGUGCUGCACUGAUGAGUCCAAACUGUAAACUACAGAGACUGGGCACAACAAAGAAAAGCAGGAUAAACCCUCAUGAGUCUUAGGGUUGCCAGGUUUGUGGUUCUUGACCAGAAUGUAAGUUUUCAGUAGAGUCUGUAGUAUCAGGUCACAGGUGAUGACUGAAUGCUGAAUUGACAUUGUAAAAUAUUGACCACUUCAGUACAGUAAUAUGUUUCACGUCUAUCAUAACAAAAAUAACAUAACAUAACAUAACAUAAUGACGAGAAUAGGCCAUUCAGCCCGACAUGCUCACCGUUUUACUACCUACCACUAGUGCUAGCAUUACCUACAAACUAGACAGUAACCAGCACCAUAUCAAGCCUGGUCUUGACAACCCCCAGAGUUUCUGCCUCUACUACAUGACAUGCGCCAAGCUAUUCUACACAGUGACUACUCUCUGUGUGAAAAAAUACUUCCUAACGUCGGUGCGGAAUUUACCUUUUGCUAAUUUCCUUUUAUGCCCCCUCGUCAUACUAACAGAGCUGAACCUGAAGAAUCUCUUGUAGUUCACUUUGUUGAUCCCCUUUAUGAAUUUAAAAGACUCAAUCAAAUAACCAUGAGUCUACUUUUACUAAGCUUGAAGAAGUUAAGCAUCUGAAGUCUUUCCUCAAAACUUUUAUCUUUCAUACCAGGAACCAGUUUGGUUUCCCUUAUUUCAACCUUUUCCAGAUCCUCUAUAUCUUUCUUGUAGUACAGUCCCCAGAACUGCACACAGUUCACUAAGUGUGGUCUGACAAAGGUAUUGUAUGAAAUAAGUAUAACUUCCUUGGAUUUACAGGGCUCCAGACUAACUUUUUACAUUGGAUGCACUGGUGCGCCUAACU
Anguilla rostrata (American eel) is the source of this 2152-nucleotide long non-coding RNA. RefSeq lists it as uncharacterized. The record is from RefSeq and is a predicted model, not a curated record. The transcript is spliced from 4 exons. Lineage: Eukaryota; Metazoa; Chordata; Actinopteri; Anguilliformes; Anguillidae.